Long non-coding RNA from Carya illinoinensis, 645 nucleotides. RefSeq lists it as uncharacterized. Lineage: Eukaryota; Viridiplantae; Streptophyta; Magnoliopsida; Fagales; Juglandaceae. The transcript has 2 exons. The record is from RefSeq and is a predicted model, not a curated record.
UGCCGAUUCAUCAUUCAAAUGAAGACGAAAACGAAAUAGGAAAUAGCUGUUAAUUAUGCAUCGUUUUAUACACGCCUACCUUUUUGUUCAGAAAUUGGAGAAGAAUCACGCGAUCACACUCUUUCAACAUUCAGGUACAGGAUCACAUUCCUUCAACCCAGUUUACACGCUCACCCCCGUAAUUUUCAGGGCUUUGUGUGGUCCAUUCUCAGGCACGCGAAGGCAAAAAGGUACCAAUUAGAAAGGUGUCUUUACCCGCAUAAUAUGUGGGGCCGGCCUUCUUUGGUCCAUAGCCAUUCGUUAUCUUUCUGUGAAGCUUUGAUGGGACUAGAGAUAUUGUCUCUGGUUCUGGAAUGAUGUUCGAAGCUUUGAACAACUGAUACGGUAUUUUUUUUUGUUGGAAUUAGUAUGAUUGUUGGUAUAUCUGUUUGUACUAGGAAGUCUUACUGGUAAUGUUUGUUCGCAGUCCCUUACAUGGGUGUAAUCGAGUUGGAGCAAGAAGUGACCUCAAGUUUUAUUUGUUUGAUUUUUACUUGACGCUGUCCUGUCUUAGCGCAGCAAGGAAAUCACCAAGCGGUCGAUUAGUAACUUGGUGACUUCCUGUUGAGUGAGGAAAUCAUCAUUCAAAGCUUUAAUUUGUUGGUA